This 449-nucleotide ribosomal RNA is filed under the name uncultured bacterium. Its description in RNAcentral is "bacterial SSU rRNA". It matches the Rfam family "Bacterial small subunit ribosomal RNA", at positions 328 to 793 of the family's 1533-position model. The record is from RNAcentral.
CUCUGUGACUCCUACGGGAGGCAGCAGUGGGGAAUAUUGCACAAUGGGCGCAAGCCUGAUGCAGCAACGCCGUGUGAGUGAAGAAGGUUUCGGAUCGUAAAACUCUGUCCUAAGGGAAGAAACAAAUGACGGUACCUUAGGAGGAAGCCCCGGCUAACUACGUGCCAGCAGCCGCGGUAAUACGUAGGGGGCAAGCGUUAUCCGGAAUCACUGGGCGUAAAGGGUGCGUAGGCGGCUUAGCAAGCCAGGGGUGAAAGGCAUUGGCUCAACCAAUGUAAGCCUUUGGAACUGUUAAGCUUGAGUGCAGGAGAGGUAAGUGGAAUUCCUAGUGUAGAGGUGAAAUUCGUAGAUAUUAGGAGGAACACCAGUGGCGAAGGCGACUUACUGGACUGUAACUGACGCUGAUGCACGAAAGCGUGGGUAGCGAACAGGAUUAGAUACCCUGGUAA